GGGUGUCUGCGCAAAUCGGCGCAACAGGUACAGCGAUGGUCGGGCCGCCACG
RNAcentral lists this non-coding RNA (52 nucleotides) under Acidovorax temperans. Its description in RNAcentral is "Li+-I sequence". It matches the Rfam family "nhaA-I RNA". Rfam says of the family: Acidobacteria, Alphaproteobacteria, Betaproteobacteria and Gammaproteobacteria, Verrucomicrobia, cand. division NC10. Downstream gene Lineage: Bacteria; Pseudomonadati; Pseudomonadota; Betaproteobacteria; Burkholderiales; Comamonadaceae. The record is from Rfam by way of RNAcentral.